This 289-nucleotide ribosomal RNA is filed under the name uncultured bacterium. RNAcentral's name for it is "partial 16S ribosomal RNA". It matches the Rfam family "Bacterial small subunit ribosomal RNA", at positions 29 to 288 of the family's 1533-position model. The record is from RNAcentral.
AUGAACGCUGGCGGCGUGGAUAAGGCAUGCAAGUCGGACGAUUUCCUUUUUUGAAGAAGAUGCGAUUACAUCAAGUCAACUGAUAUUUUGGAGAUAGUGGCGAACGAGCUAGUAACACCUUGGUACGUACCCAAAAGUUUGGUAUAGCUCGCCGAAAGGCGGGGUAAUCCCAAAUAAUCCCUCUAUCUAUCGGAUAGAAGGGUAAAGUCGCAAGACGCUUUUUGGAGCGGCCUAGGACCGAUCAGUUAGUUGGUGAGGUAAUGGCUCACCAAGACGAUGACCGGUAGGG